UGAAUCGACGAGAAUACAUCCUCCCUUCCCAUUACUUUCUCAGACGAUAGAUACUAUAUGAGCUCUUCCGUUCAGAAUUUCAAGGCUUGAAUUUACUAGCUGUUCAGCAAACGCAGAAUAUCAUCUUCGUCAGUAAAUGGCCUUGAAUCGGCAAUGUCUUCAGAAGGUAGCGUGAAGCCGGUGAAGGAGAAGGAGAGUCCCAAGCUGGCACUCGAAGCUCGGCUAAGGGCUGCACCGCUGCUCAAAUCAUCAAGAUCUAAAAUGAAAUGAACAAGAUCUGAAAUGAAAUUGAUGGACCUGGAGGGCUUGAGAUGGCUAGGGCUUCGAUUGAGAGGUAUGAUAAGGUAUGAAAUCACACUAGGACUUCGAUUGAGAGGUAUGAUAAGAUUUGGGAGUUCGAUUGAGAGAAGGAAUAAGGUCUGAGUAUAGGAUUUUUGUGGCUUAGAACUUAGAAGGAAGCAAGUGACGAAACCUUGUUUAAGUCUCGCCUUUUUAUUUUUUGGUCCGUGUUUUUAAAACUAAAA
Molecule: long non-coding RNA, 524 nt
Filed under: Panax ginseng (ginseng)
Lineage: Eukaryota; Viridiplantae; Streptophyta; Magnoliopsida; Apiales; Araliaceae
Description: long non-coding RNA (PGIN_LNC018823)
Source: RNAcentral